UUUAAGUGGAGACCAACACCUAUUAUUAAAGUAGAGCCGGUUGAAAAAGACCCAAGUUACUGUUGGCAAUCUCUCGAAAAUUUCAAUAUUUGAAAUUUGGAAUUCGGUAUAUGACUCUCCUCAAGCACACACACGUAUUUUCCUCCAGUUCCUGCACUUUCUCGGAGACUUGGAACAUUGUCCAAGCUUUUUCCUAGGAUUAGUUCUGUCCUUGGUUUAUUUUUUAUUUUUUAUAUCUAUUCAAUUUUAAUAUUGACCCAUUUGAUUUUGGGCCAUUAGAUGUUCGUAACUUGCUGAUCCAGAUUAGUUCUGUUCAAGAACCGGGAUUUCGAAUUCAGGAUUUAAAUUGUCUUCUUCAUUAGUUUUUAAGUGGAGAAAUCUCAAAGGGAAAGUUUGGUUCAGCUUUUGUAAGGGAUGGAUUCAGUAAUUUGGUAGUACAAAUGGUAGUGAAAGAGCAUGAAAAUGGAAUUUAGCCAGUGAAAUUGUGAUUUGAAAUUAUUGGAAAUGAGUCGGUCUCCCUCAUUUUCAGUGAAGUCAGAACUUAGUCCAAAGCUUGAUCCAGAAUCCUUGAGGCAAUGGGUUGUGGCCUUUUGCAUCAUUAGGUUUGAUCUUGAACAGGGUCAGCUCAUUGAAGAGUGUUACCCACCUGGUUGUCUUACCCAGGAGGAGGAGCUUGAAAUUGCAUUCAGUUCAUUCCCAGAUUCUGUUACCCAGCAUCAGAAUCGCUCAAGCAUUCAUGAUUGCAUGUUCUUUUUCCGGUUUCAAAGGCCGGAGAAUUCUCAAACUGGUAAUGUGUCAGUGUCUUCCACAGAAACAACCGCAACUGAUAAGGAGUCAUCUCCCAAAAACACAGAAAAAAGAACUCUUAGAAGGUUGAAAAGUAACAAUAUUUCUGGUGGUUCAAAAUACAUGUACGGCUAUGUUUUCAAUCGAGAGAGACAUGAUGAGAGGUUGAAGAGAGGUGGAGAGCAGAAGUCGGUGGUAAUUUUGUCUUGCAAUCCAUAUUCUACUGUGUUUAAACCCUUGUUGCAGAUCAUGGGUCCUUUAUACUUUGACAUUGGAAAGAAAGCUCUUGAACAUAUUGCUGCUUAUGUGUCAAUGUGGCCUGCACCUGUACCUGGGAAGCUUAUGGAGCUUCCUAUUGGGAAUGCCAUGCUUAAAGUUAACUUGCCUCCUGCUCACAGCUUGCCCUUGGAAAGUGGAGUGUUUUUGGAAGAAUCUCCUACUUCUUUGGCUCCAUUUCUUCCUAAUAAUCAGUCAGUUCCUCAGGGCCUAUUUCAUGAUUCAGAUAUUUUUGGUACCUUCCGUGGUCUUCUUUUGCAGCUAUGGGUUUUAUGGGAGUUGUUACUUGUUGGUGAGCCUAUUCUUAUCAUUGCUCCAACUCCUCCACAAUGCUGUGAAGCUGUGGCCAGUCUUGUGAGUUUGGUUGCGCCCCUACUUUAUAGUGUUGAUUUUAGGCCUUAUUUCACCAUCCAUAACCCAGAAUUUGCUCAACUAAAUUCUCUUCAAGAAGGAGAUGUGUUUCCUCCUAUGAUUUUGGGUGUGACUAAUCUCUUUUUCCUGAAGUCACUGCACAACAUCCCUCAUAUUGUUUCUGUUGGAAGUCCUGGUCCUAAUUCAAACCGUCUUCCCGCUUCAAAUAAUAGGUCCUCUACUGGCAGAAUUCCUGGUAAAUCUGAAGGAUUUGGUCUUCAACAGCUCUCCUUGAAAAAAUUAUCUCCGUCAAAUUUGUUAAAUGCUGUGAAGUUGAGGCGAGAGGGUCCUCUUUGUCUCAUGACAGAACAUAAGGAAGCCAUAUGGAGCACUUAUGCUGCAACAACCAAGCCAGACACUUCUAUACUAAAUAGGCUUUUAGAUGCAGGCAUGUCACCAAGGGUUGAAGAAUCAAUGUCAGUGGUGAAUAAUGAGAUUCUGCGACGGCAUUUCUUGGAGCUCACUACUAAUUUCUUGGCACCUUUUGGCCCUUAUUUUAGGGCCCUCACACCAUCAGAAGGGUCUUGUCCAUUUUUAGACCCUCCUCCUCGCCCUCCAUUUAAGGCUGAUGAAUUUCUAGCAACCUUAUCAGCAAGAGGACCAGGGAAGUUUUUGUCAAAGAGGAUGAGAUAUAAUUGGCUGGAUUUGUAUAGACGAUUUCUGAAAGGACCGAACUUUAUGCCAUGGUUUCAAAGAAAGCGUGCUGUUGCUGAACAAGAACAACAUAGAUUGUGGAGGCAUGCAAGAAUGAAUGCUGACAUACAACAAUUUAUAUCAAAUAUGUCGGAAUUAGAAAUAGUUGAUUCCUUCAAUGCAAUUGAAAGACAUAUUAUUGGAGACAUAAAGCUGCAGCAAUUUGGAAAGGCAAGUGGAGACUCCACAACCACUUACCAGAAACUAAAGGGGGAUUUACGAGCAUUGUUCAAUGUGCUUCCAAAGGACAUGCAGCAGCUUUUACUUUUAAACCCUGAAAGGGCAGCCCUUCUUCAAGGAAGUCUGGAACACACGAAACUUCCUGGGCGGCCACUUGUACAAGUUGGGGUUAUAUCUUCAGAAUCACCAAGAUAGUAUGAAAAAAAAAUGGUAGUAAAGUAGUCUCUGAUACAGUGUUCCUCUGUGCCGAUUAAGGACACCAAUAUUAUAAUCUCAGCUCCUACUGUUACUGGAAAAAGAGCCCUUCCUGAUCUUAAAGCUUGCCAUUCAAUCAGGUAAAAAAAGUCAAAAAAUGGAGUAACAGUUGAGGUUGUAUGAGAACCAUGGAAUUGCAUUUUUCAGCUUCCCAGUUGAAUCGAGACAUUUCUCUUCUUUUCAACCCCCCAAACAGAUGUGAUUGUUUAUGAUUUUCUGGGAUCCACUAGUUGUUUUUCCAAAGGAGUAAAAAAUUCUAGUUUUGUUUUCGGUUUGGUUGAAACUGUUGAAACUGAUUGUUAGCUCUACCAAAAUAUAGCAACAACGGCUCAGGGCAGAAAUCCCAACUUGUAAUUUUGUAAAUUAAUAUAUUUUUUUUCACUCUUUGCAAUGGGGGUUCAUCUUUUAUAAAGUGAAGAAUUCACCACAA
Molecule: RNA transcript, 3031 nt
Organism: Humulus lupulus (European hop)
Lineage: Eukaryota; Viridiplantae; Streptophyta; Magnoliopsida; Rosales; Cannabaceae
Exons: 5
Source: RefSeq, a predicted model, not a curated record